GAGGAACAAAGCAAGACUCAGAAUAAAGGCUCGGUUUUUAAAACAAGAAAAACACGGAAACAAUUCGCAUAAACAUUACAACAUUUAACAUUAAAGCAUCAAGCAGAAUUACAGUGUAAAUCUAAACUAGCGACUCAGAACAGCUAACACAGGACAGAAACUCUAUGGCUCGGCGAAACAAUACGAAGGAAUCUAAACAAACUCAACACGAAGCAAGCAACAUCGAUUUAAUAACAGGUGACUCGAAAUUUAACCGAACUCGACUAAAACUCAAUACAAUACCCAGCAAAGCUCAAAGACUACAACUCGGUUGACUCGGUGCAUGACUCGGUACACAACUCCCUGCACAAUCAACAAUCUCAGCUUAAACUAAACCCCUGAACUCGGCAGAAACGCAACAAAUCACAGCAAAGACGCAAGAAACAGAGUAACGGACUCGAACCCAGUACAAAGAAACUCAGUAUUAUGCAGCAGACUUGGUGAAGAAGAAGACGCAACUCUCUAACUCGGAAACGACUCAGGCUAUAACUCGGAAACGACUCAGGCUAUAACUCGGAAACAAAACAAACCCAGCAAGAAAUCAACUCGCCUCAGCAAAGAACACGAACACAGACUUCGAACAAAGACAACUCAGUACCAAUAAAUCGCAGCAAACCCAGGACUAACUCGGUAACAGUCAAAACGACACCCUACACAAGAAGACUCGGAAUAAAUGAAAGAAAACAGCAACGCAGCAGUACAGGGGGUUUUGUUUUGAGAACAGGAGAGCAGAGUAUAUAUAAAAACAGAAACAGAGGGCUUGAGUUUGGUGACUUGAAAACAAAUGCAUACAGAUUAUUAAGUUGGUAAUUGUUUAUAAUAUAAAGUGAACUACCAAAAUUAACGUUACUAUAACUUUUAGAAAUCUGAAAAUUUAAAACCCUAACACAAAUUAAUUUUGUGCUAGGAUUUACUUGACUAUUUCAAGAGAUCACAAGUCUACACUAAUCACAAACUCAAUGAUUCUUCAUUUCCCAAAAGCUUAAAAGCAUGUGGUGGUACUUAGAA
This 1047-nucleotide long non-coding RNA is filed under the name Daucus carota (carrot). RNAcentral's name for it is "long non-coding RNA (DCAR_LNC002630)". The record is from RNAcentral. Lineage: Eukaryota; Viridiplantae; Streptophyta; Magnoliopsida; Apiales; Apiaceae.